GAACUUUCUGGAUCACAGGAAUACCCGGCGCUGACAUUGGGCACCGUAGCUCACAGAAAUCUUUCAGGAUAUCACUUCACUUCAUGUUCGCUGCUUUUCAGGUUGACACAAGAGUUAUCUCCAUCUCUGUGUACGAAUAAGGAAACUCGGAGCUAAGCAGCUACCUAACUGGUCCAUGGUCACGUGACGGAACUGGAACCGCGGUGUUAGAACCUAGACCAGGCACUGCUCAGGGCACGCCCAUCUGAAGCUGUGUUGCUCUCCUCCUGUCUGCCUGAUUCUGCGCACAGGCUCUAGGCCAUCAGACUCUUAAGGUUUACUGAUGACGAGAAAAGCGAUAUGACAGGGAUACAUUAACUAAAUGGAACUCUCCUCCCCUCCUCCCUCCCCUUCUGCUGCUGCCCAAGAAUCAGACAUAGCCUGAUUAGAAGCAUAGACUAUGGUCUACUCAUCAACCCAAACUAGCUCAACUAUGAAUCAGCCAUCUUUGUUAAGGACAACGGGCUCACAGGCCACGUCCAGAACAUCACUUUUUUUUUGUAGUGGCUAUUUAAUAGAUUAAAACAUUGUUUUAAUUAGUCUCUGUCAAUGAUAUUAGAAGCUUACAAAAUAAGGCAAACAAUAAAAAUACAUCUCUUUGUUACUUGGGAAUGAAAUUGCUUCUAUCCUUCUACAGAUAAGAGAAUUAUCACAGGAAGGCAAUCUCCCAUCUCCACAAACAAUCUUUAUAGCGGUAUUUAAAUCAAAUUGCCUGGAAAUAAUCAUAUUUGAAGGAAGUAGAGAAAACUUCUUGAGGUAAGUCAUCUUGGGGGCGAUGUCUGUGACAUACAGCCAUGGAUUUUUGUGUCUUACGGUCUUCCUUGGCUUUAAUUUGCUAUUUUUUAAAAAGCAAAGUAACUAGUACAAAAAUGGCUCAGUUUUUUUUUUUUUUACAAUGACAUUCCUAUGAGAGACUGAAAGAAUUGUAGAUUAAUGUUGCCAUCCACUCCCAACAGCUCUGAGGAACAUUUUUAUUGGACAAUAAAGCUUUCUUCCUUGUGUUCUAUACGAUUCCUUUUUUUCUUCUUUCAGAAGAUACUGCCGUUUGUAUAAAGAGGAGAAAUACAAAUGCUUAUUAUCCAACAAAGCAAUUCUAGUAAAUUAAAUUCGUUCAAUUCACAUAAGGCAUAGAGGACCAAACACUUCAGGGAGUGGGAAGUUAAUAUUCAAACACAAUGCAUUUGAGACCUUUUGUAUACUGCCCAGGUCUAUCUUUGGAAAAAGAUGGCAGUAUUCCAGCCUGCAGAUUCUCUCCCAGUGUGUGGAUUCUGAUUGCCACAUCACCAGCUGUCGUUGGAAGUGGUUCUAAAAUUCACAUAGCUUUUCUCCUAUAGUCUGAGCUGACAGUCCCUGCUUCUAAUCUGAAGCAGACCAGAUAUUGCUAAUAAGACUAAUAACACAAAAACUCCUCUACACAAAAUCCAGGAGUGUUCAACUCCUGUAAGUGUAGAAAGAGGAGGUGGGCACAGGCCGCACCUAGGAUGCUCAUGCUGAUGGGUUAGCUAGCGGAAGCAUUCCAACCCCAACUCAGGAGCUGAAAAUACAGAGUCCUAAUUUGUCAGGUGCUUAAAAAUUGGCUCUGACUAAACACAGGAAGUUGGUGAGCUGAAUCCUUAAGAUCCAUUCCAGUUCCAAGUGAACGUGUACCUCGCUCGUCGUCGGCCUGAACUCUGCAUCUAAUCCAGCACUGGCCGGUAUCCAACCUUGUUCAUUUAAUAGUCAACAUUUGUCAAGGGCUCCCCAUGUACCGAGCCCUGCGUUAGGCAUGUGUUAGGGGACAGAUACAAAGAAGGCUCCUGCCUUUGAGGAAUGUGGAGAAGUAUUAGAUUCAAAGGGAGAAGUCUGAAGGCAGGCACAAGGGACUCUGUGUCUCCGUGUGUGGGGCUCACUGCUGAAGGCAGUGGCAGGCCGGCUCCUCUGAUGAAUGCAGAUGUAAACUCAAUCAUGUGCUAAUAUCUUCUGAAAGGUACCCACUGGUAAACUGACACCUCUGUGUGCCUUAGAAAAAGCAGCAGGGUACGAGGUUGAAGUACACACAACCUGUGUCCUGUUGUUCUUCAGAAACAAACUACCCGUCACCAUUUAUGGUAUCUGACACUCUCAUCAAGGUGUCAAAGAUCCCGUGCAGUAUUCCGGCUAUAGGAAGUGAAUCGUGCUACUGGCAGCAGUUAAUAGGACCAGACUUGAGGCACGGAGUCAGGAUGUGGCACGGAGUCACUUGAAGUAAGAAAAGAGUACAUGAACUGGCACUGGGAGCCAAGCAUGGCCUAUCCCAAGCUCAGAGCUCCUGCAAAUCCUCUCUUCAGAGAAUUCAUACUAUAGCAUCUCAUUGGAAUGGCUCUAAGCAUCAGUUACAUAAGCCCUGAAGGUAUGAGAGGCACACUCAUCUGCAAUGACUCCAGAGCAGGGCUUGAAGGAUGCGCUGGUUCUGAAAGAGUUCCCUGACUCUGUUUCUUCGUGUUUCAUUUUCAAAGAGCAGACUGUGGAGGAAAGCUGACGGUCAUGUGAGCUUUCUGGCUGCCCAGAUUCUCUCUGUGUGUGUUGGGGGGAGGGGUAGCAUUUUCCUGUAAUUAAACUGUAAGAACUAAUUG
This 2630-nucleotide long non-coding RNA is filed under the name Mus pahari (shrew mouse). RNAcentral's name for it is "lncRNA (MGP_PahariEiJ_G0002320.1)". Lineage: Eukaryota; Metazoa; Chordata; Mammalia; Rodentia; Muridae. The record is from RNAcentral.